GUGUCCGUGCUUGGUUUUGUAAUGCAUUUCAGCAGAUUUAUAUGGGUCCAGAUUUUAAAAUGGGAGUAUGGAAAUAAAAGACGUUAUCACGUAACAUGCACUUCUCACCCUGUCAGAUCAGCACCUGUUGUGCCCAAGAUUGCGAAUGCGAGAAAACCGCCAAGGAGCCGAGGCCGAUGCAAGUACAUGAGGGUUUAUUGAGAAGCUCGAGCUUGGGUCCAAGUACACCCGACACAGCGGAGCAGGGACUUGGAACCUGAGGUUAUUGACUACUGCUGAUGGAUGAGGCGAAAUACUCACAGUGCCAGGAAGAAAUGAAUUCGCUGGUACUGCCAGGAGAAGAGACCAGCGCGGCUAAAAUAGGCGAUGACCAUGGACAAGAGAUACUGGCGGAAAGAGGAGAAAAGCCGUCAUAGAAGGGUCCCAUCCUGGGAGAGGAAGACCAGUGAGUGGCAUCGGGGUACAAAGAUGGCCUGUCCUCCCCUCCCCGCCCCCGCCCCGACACAGCCGAAGGCACUUAGAUUCAAAAGGCCAGUAAGCGCUAAGAUGUCUCAGGAGUGCAACUGCAGCUAAGCUUUCUCAUCCCUCUGUCAUUUUUAAGUGUCCCCGAUGAGGGGUCAGUAUGGAGUCCUCCAAGGAUGGAGAGAGAGAGCUCAGCGACCUGCAAAGAAUUAUUUUCCAUUGGAAAAGCGUCGCCGUUGGAAGUUUCUGGUGUUUUCAGGAAAAAAGAAUAAGGUUGGAGGGUGCUGUUCCUACCGAGCAGCCUGUUGAACGCCUCGUGGUGCUCAGGGAGCACUGAAGAUAGCCGCUGUCUCUUCAGCUUCAUCUUGAGGCCACUCAGUGUCUCCACCACCCAGAUGUCGUUGGCCUCAGGGGCUGUCUCCUCAUCGGAUUCGAUGUCUCUCUUCCUUCCGCGGGACUGAGGCAAGGGGCAGGGGUCUACAAAGGGGGCUGAGUGAAGAAACCAGGCUACAGUACAAAGCUUCUUCUGUCUUUGGAAUUCAGCCACGCUUUCCACACCCCCAAACCCAAACUCCCUCUUCAUUUCUCUGUGGCCUCAUAGAUGAUUGGCCUCUCCAAAACCACCUUUCAUCUUUGUCCUUCAUUCAUAUGCAUUUGCCCCCAUUCAUCUUUGCCACUGUUUCAUACCUCCCACCACGCCCUCAAAACUCUUCCUGGUAGAUCAUUUCUCCCAUGAGGAUAAUGGGAUAAUUUCCUGUCUUCCUUUAUCUCCUCUUUGGAUGUCAUCUCCUAACCCUCCUUCCUUGCUUCCUGGGUUUUCCUUCCAGUGCGAUACCCUUGUCCCCGGCUCCCGUGCUCUCUUCUCCAAUCCCUGGCUUUCUGAAUCUCUCCUGUCACGUGCAGUCUAGUCAGACACACCUUCCUGGCUUCUGUACCCAUUUGUACUCACUAGUCAAGCCUGUCAAGUCCCUUCUCCCUCCUGCUUCCUCACCUGAUGGUCCUGGGCUUUCUUCAUCUACCACGGCCUCCGGGGGGUACCCUGAUGUGCUAGGCUGGGGGCUCUGGCCCUCAGACUGGGCGGACGGUUGACAACUGGCCAUGAUUUCUCCCAAGCUCUUUGUGCCCUCCCAGGAGACUCAGACCCUCCUCUUCUCAAACUCCCCUUCUGGCUUCUGGGUGAACCCAAGCCCUGUUAUCCCUUCUCUAAGCCGGGGCCAAGCUAGGAGUAUGGACAUGCUCUGCGAAGAUGCUCUUGUCCACCUCCGUUGCCAAGAACCAUGGAGUCCAGUCUUUCCAAUCAGGAAGGUCAGAAGCCUCUGAUGUCAUGCACCAUUCCAGCCUGGCAGCCAUUUUGAAGGAAGACACGUGCAACUGCGAGACCGAGGUCCACUUCUGGAGUUCAGGAUCAAGGCUAUCUCAUGUCGCCGAUCCAGCCUGCAACCGUCCUCCAAAACUGUCCUCGGGGUGUCUGGAUCACUCUACUCCUCUCCAGCAGAUGCGGGGCUCUCUGCAUCCUUCUAUUCCUGUUUCACGGUGCAGUCUGGCAGCAGAGGGAGGAAACAGACGAGGGAAGACCUAGAGACACCCUAGGAAGACGGCUUGCAGUGCUAACUCACAGAACAGAAUUCUGGGAUGGGGAGACGGGAAGAGGUUCUGGAUACCGACUUCGAAGAUCUGGUGUCUGAAGCUCAGUGUUAAAGGGAAAAUUUGGACGCAAACAUCCAAGUACAGAGAAGAGAAUGGGAUGACACAGGGAGAGAAGACUGACAUCUACCAGCCAGGGCGGGAGGAUGCAACAGCCCCUCCCCCACAGCACUCAGAAGGAACCAGCCCUGCCCACACCUGAAUCUCAGACUCCCAGCCUCCAGAACAGUGAGAGAAUGUAUUUUUGUCGUGACAGCCUGAAAGCUGCCUGGUUUGUCUUACUUUGUUACAGCUUCCCUGUAGGCAGAUCCACACAGUAUUUUUGAAGAAGAGGGAAUUCAGAUUUGACAGUCACUUUCCUGAUACUUCUGCUGCCCCUUUCCCCAAAGCAAGACGCGUCCAUGUCCGGAGGCUUCAAAGAAGAAUGGGUUCUUUCACACAGAUUAGAACCUUGAGCUUUCUUAGCCUCUGGCAUUUCCUGGUCAAGGUGACUGUUCAUUUUGGAAAACAUGGUGGAAAGACUUCAAGAGAAGAAUGAUUUACAAAUCUUGAAGAUGGGUGUCAGUUAGCUUAAUAAAACUGAUGCAUUAAAGAGAGAAAAAUAAACGGGAGCAAACCGAGGCAACUACUUAGGAAAUUAAGGGUGGGAAAGGCUUCUUCAAAGACAGUGUCUAAACAGAUGAAAAGUAUGAAGAGGAAGUGAACGAUUUGAACACAGAAACAAUAUCCAUAUGACAGAAAAUAAAGUAAAACAUUAGGUUAAAAAGAUCAAUGACUUGGGUCGCCUGGGUGGCUUUUUAGUUGGGUCUCUGCCUUCUGGCCAGGGCAUGGUCCUGGGGUCCUGAGAUCCAGAUUGGCCCCCGUCGGACUCCCCUGGGGGAGCCAGCUUCUCCCUCCACCUGUGUCUCUGCCUCUCUGUGUGCAUCUCUCAUGAAUGAA
Molecule: long non-coding RNA, 3045 nt
Organism: Canis lupus familiaris (dog)
Lineage: Eukaryota; Metazoa; Chordata; Mammalia; Carnivora; Canidae
Exons: 5
Source: RefSeq, a predicted model, not a curated record